This 465-nucleotide ribosomal RNA is filed under the name uncultured bacterium. RNAcentral's name for it is "partial 16S ribosomal RNA". It matches the Rfam family "Bacterial small subunit ribosomal RNA", at positions 28 to 507 of the family's 1533-position model. The record is from RNAcentral.
GACGAACGCUGGCGGCGUGCUUAACACAUGCAAGUCGAACGGAAAGGCCCCUUUGGGGGUACUCGAGUGGCGAACGGGUGGGUAACACGUGAGUAACCUGCCCUUGACUUCGGGAUAACUUCAGGAAACUGGGGCUAAUACCGGAUAGGAAUCCUUGCUGCAUGGUGGGGGUUGGAAAGCUUCGGCGGUUUUGGAUGGACUCGCGGCUUAUCAGCUUGUUGGUGGGGUAGUGGCUUACCAAGGCUUUGACGGGUAGCCGGCCUGAGAGGGCGACCGGCCACAUUGGGACUGAGAUACGGCCCAGACUCCUACGGGAGGCAGCAGUGGGGAAUAUUGCACAAUGGGCGGAAGCCUGAUGCAGCAACGCCGCGUGCGGGAUGACGGCCUUCGGGUUGUAAACCGCUUUCAGCAGGGGCGAAGCUUGUGGUGACGGUACCUGCAGAAGAAGCACCGGCUAACUACGUG